Molecule: long non-coding RNA, 239 nt
Organism: Argentina anserina (silverweed cinquefoil)
Lineage: Eukaryota; Viridiplantae; Streptophyta; Magnoliopsida; Rosales; Rosaceae
Exons: 3
Source: RefSeq, a predicted model, not a curated record
AGCGCCGGCGACCGGUGAAGAUAAGAAUAAGCGUAAGGGAAGCAGCAAGGUCGGACGUAGACCUCAACGAGAUAGCAAGGGCAGAGGAUCAAAGGAUUCACAUGGUAGUGGAGAUUUCUCGGAGACCAACACUUAUGCUCAAGGGUUGUCAAAAAAAGGCACCGAGUCUGAAGAAUUGGAGAUUGCUCCUUCCCCUCCCCAUGAUGAUGGUCUGUUUGAUUAUUGUUUUAGAGUUUGCA